Non-coding RNA from Citrus sinensis (sweet orange), 111 nucleotides. The record is from Rfam. NCBI's taxonomy places the organism in Eukaryota, Viridiplantae, Streptophyta, Magnoliopsida, Sapindales, Rutaceae.
GAAAAAAACAUCAUUGAGUGCAGCGUUGAUGAAUAUUUGUCGGUGCUUUGCCAAUAUUUCUCUAUACUAGCCAGGAUUCUUUCACCAGCGCUGCACUCGAUCAUGUUUUUU